This 253-nucleotide ribosomal RNA is filed under the name uncultured bacterium. RNAcentral describes it as "partial 16S ribosomal RNA". It matches the Rfam family "Bacterial small subunit ribosomal RNA", at positions 524 to 776 of the family's 1533-position model. The record is from RNAcentral.
UACGUAGGCAGCGAGCGUUGUUCGGAGUUACUGGGCGUAAAGGGUGUGUAGGCGGUUGUUUAAGUUUGGUGUGAAAUCUCCCGGCUCAACUGGGAGGGUGCGCCGAAUACUGAAUGACUAGAGUGCGGGAGAGGAAAGUGGAAUUCCUGGUGUAGCGGUGAAAUGCGUAGAUAUCAGGAGGAACACCGGUGGUGUAGACGGCUUUCUGGACGGUAACUGACGCUGAGACGCGAAAGCGUGGGGAGCAAACAGG